AAUCCAUGCAUAGGACACUUCCGUAAAAAUUCUUUGAAUCUUUCUCAUGCUUCAUACAUACUUUUAUCCUCCAUUAGCUUAAAUGAAGUUAAAUCAUUUCGAAGUUU
This is a small nucleolar RNA of Hibiscus syriacus, 107 nucleotides long. The record is from RefSeq and is a predicted model, not a curated record. Lineage: Eukaryota; Viridiplantae; Streptophyta; Magnoliopsida; Malvales; Malvaceae.